CGGUGACCUCGAUCAGGUAGGAGUU
RNAcentral lists this ribosomal RNA (25 nucleotides) under Talaromyces trachyspermus. RNAcentral's name for it is "partial 28S ribosomal RNA". The record is from RNAcentral. Lineage: Eukaryota; Fungi; Ascomycota; Eurotiomycetes; Eurotiales; Trichocomaceae.